GAUUAAGUUAUUAAGGGCGCACGGUGGAUGCCUUGGCACUAGAAGCCGAUGAAGGACGUUACUAACGACGAUAUGCUUUGGGGAGCUGUAAGUAAGCUGUAAUCCAGAGAUUUCCGAAUGGGGAAACCCAGCACGAGUUAUGUCGUGUUAUCGACAUGUGAAUAUAUAUCAUGUCUGAAGGCAUACCCGGAGAACUGAAACAUCUUAGUACCCGGAGGAAGAGAAAGAAAAAUCGAUUCCCUGAGUAGCGGCGAGCGAAACGGGAAGAGCCCAAACCAAUAAGCUUGCUUAUUGGGGUUGUAGGACACUCUAUACGGAGUUACAAAUGUAUAAAUUAGACGAAUUAUCUGGAAAGAUAAAUCAAAGAAGGUAAUAAUCCUGUAGUCGAAAAUUUAUACACUCUUGAGUGGAUCCUGAGUACGACGGAGCACGUGGAAUUCCGUCGGAAUCCGGGAGGACCAUCUCCCAAGGCUAAAUACUCUCUAGUGACCGAUAGUGAACCAGUACCGUGAGGGAAAGGUGAAAAGUACCCCGGAAGGGGAGUGAAAGAGAACUUGAAACCGUGUGCUUACAAGUAGUCAGAGCCCGUUAAUGGGUGAUGGCGUGCCUUUUGUAGAAUGAACCGGCGAGUUACGAUCUGAUGCAAGGUUAAGCAGCAAAUGUGGAGCCGCAGCGAAAGCGAGUCUGAAUAGGGCGUUGAGUAUUUGGUCGUAGACCCGAAACCAGGUGAUCUACCCAUGACCAGGCUGAAGUUCAGGUAACACUGAAUGGAGGGCCGAACCGACUUACGUUGAAAAGUGAGCGGAUGAGUUGUGGGUAGCGGAGAAAUUCCAAUCGAACCUGGAGAUAGCUGGUUCUCUCCGAAAUAGCUUUAGGGCUAGCCUCAAGUGAUGAUUAUUGGAGGUAGAGCACUGUUUGGACGAGGGGCCCUUCUCGGGUUACCGAAUUCAGACAAACUCCGAAUGCCAAUCAAUUUAACUUGGGAGUCAGAACAUGGGUGAUAAGGUCCGUGUUCGAAAGGGAAACAGCCCAGACCACCAGCUAAGGUCCCAAAAUAUAUGUUAAGUGGAAAAGGAUGUGGCGUUGCCCAGACAACUAGGAUGUUGGCUUAGAAGCAGCCAUCAUUUAAAGAGUGCGUAAUAGCUCACUAGUCGAGUGACACUGCGCCGAAAAUGUACCGGGGCUAAACAUAUUACCGAAGCUGUGGAUUGUCCGUAGGACAAUGGUAGGAGAGCGUUCUAAGGGCGUUGAAGCAUGAUCGCAAGGACAUGUGGAGCGCUUAGAAGUGAGAAUGCCGGUGUGAGUAGCGAAAGACGGGUGAGAAUCCCGUCCACCGAUUGACUAAGGUUUCCAGAGGAAGGCUCGUCCGCUCUGGGUUAGUCGGGACCUAAGCUGAGGCCGAAAGGCGUAGGCGAUGGACAACAGGUUGAUAUUCCUGUACCACCUCAAUUCGUUUUAAGCGAUGGGGGGACGCAGUAGGAUAGGCGAAGCGUACGAUUGGAUUGUACGUCCAAGCAGUAAGACUGAGUAUUAGGCAAAUCCGGUACUCGUAAGGUCAAGCUGUGAUGGGGAGAGGAAUUUAUUCCUCGAGUCGUUGAUUUCACACUGCCAAGAAAAUCCUCUAGCUAGAAUUAUGGUGCCCGUACCGCAAACCGACACAGGUAGUCAAGAUGAGAAUUCUAAGGUGAGCGAGCGAACUCUCGUUAAGGAACUCGGCAAAAUGACCCCGUAACUUCGGGAGAAGGGGUGCUUUCUAGGGUUCACGCCCAGGAAAGCCGCAGUGAAUAGGCCCAAGCGACUGUUUAUCAAAAACACAGGUCUCUGCUAAACCGUAAGGUGAUGUAUAGGGGCUGACGCCUGCCCGGUGCUGGAAGGUUAAGAGGAGUGGUUAGCUUCUGCGAAGCUACGAAUCGAAGCCCC
RNAcentral lists this ribosomal RNA (1920 nucleotides) under Salmonella enterica subsp. enterica serovar Typhi. Its description in RNAcentral is "partial 23S ribosomal RNA". It matches the Rfam family "Bacterial large subunit ribosomal RNA", at positions 1 to 1921 of the family's 2925-position model. The record is from RNAcentral. Lineage: Bacteria; Pseudomonadati; Pseudomonadota; Gammaproteobacteria; Enterobacterales; Enterobacteriaceae.